CGCCGGUUCGAGAGCAGCACGGUAGCUCGUCGGGCUCAUAACCCGAAGGUCGCAGGUUCAAAUCCUGUCCCCGCAACCA
RNAcentral lists this transfer RNA (79 nucleotides) under Bacillus cereus. RNAcentral describes it as "tRNA-Met". The stretch from base 11 to 68 matches the Rfam family "tRNA", at positions 9 to 63 of the family's 71-position model. Rfam says of the family: Transfer RNA (tRNA) molecules are approximately 80 nucleotides in length. Their secondary structure includes four short double-helical elements and three loops (D, anti-codon, and T loops). The record is from RNAcentral. Lineage: Bacteria; Bacillati; Bacillota; Bacilli; Caryophanales; Bacillaceae.